Molecule: transfer RNA, 65 nt
Filed under: Caiman crocodilus (spectacled caiman)
Lineage: Eukaryota; Metazoa; Chordata; Crocodylia; Alligatoridae
Description: transfer RNA-Ser
Source: RNAcentral
UGAGGUGGAAACUUCACGUAGGAACUGCUAAUUCCUCAAACCAGGUUUAAUCUUCUUGGCCUCCU